This 723-nucleotide ribosomal RNA is filed under the name Triticum aestivum (bread wheat). RNAcentral describes it as "partial small subunit ribosomal RNA". The record is from RNAcentral. Lineage: Eukaryota; Viridiplantae; Streptophyta; Magnoliopsida; Poales; Poaceae.
AUGGACCUCUCCUGCUACGGCGAGAGGCUGCUCAGCUCUGCGCGCUUCGCGCGCUCCCUCGACCUCCCCCUCCCCGGCCCCAACCCCUUCCUGCUCGAGAAGGAAAUGGAUACUGCUGUCAUUCAGAAGGACUUGGGCCUUCCAGUUGGAGAAGCAAUAUUCGGGAAAACAAUACUUAUCCUGGGGUUCGGAGCCAUUGGCAUGGAAAUUGCCAAGAGACUAAGACCAUUUGGAGUGAAAAUUCUUGCUACAAAAAGAAACUGGUCAUCAAAUACAGUGUCUUGUGAUCUUGAUGGGCUGGUUGACAAGAAAGGUGGUCCAGAAGAUAUGUACGAACUCGUUCGAGAAGCUGACAUAGUUAUAACUUGCAUGACGUUAAACAAUGAAUCAGUUGGGAUUGUGGAUCACAAGUUCCUGUCAGCUUUGAAAAAGGGAUCAUAUCUCAUCAAUAUUGCCAGAGGGCGCCUACUGGACUAUAUGGCUGUGUUUAAUCACCUUGAGUCAGGUCAUUUAGGUGGUUUAGGCAUUGAUGUUGCUUGGACGGAGCCAUUCGAUCAAGAGGAUCCAAUUCUGAAAUUCCCAAAUGUUAUUAUAACACCACAUGUUGCAGGAAUCACAGAGUUGGUUUGCACUUGUUUCUUUGCAAUACACAGAGUUGUUGGUGAUGUUGCCCUCAAGCUUCACGCGGGGGAGCCAUUCACCGAAAUAGAAUUUGUGAACUAG